Molecule: transfer RNA, 69 nt
Filed under: Tropidophorus hainanus
Lineage: Eukaryota; Metazoa; Chordata; Lepidosauria; Squamata; Scincidae
Description: tRNA-His
Rfam family: tRNA
About the family: Transfer RNA (tRNA) molecules are approximately 80 nucleotides in length. Their secondary structure includes four short double-helical elements and three loops (D, anti-codon, and T loops). Further hydrogen bonds mediate the characteristic L-shaped molecular structure. tRNAs have two regions of fundamental functional importance: the anti-codon, which is responsible for specific mRNA codon recognition, and the 3' end, to which the tRNAs corresponding amino acid is attached (by aminoacyl-tRNA synthetases). tRNAs cope with the degeneracy of the genetic code in two manners: having more than one tRNA (with a specific anti-codon) for a particular amino acid; and 'wobble' base-pairing, i.e. permitting non-standard base-pairing at the 3rd anti-codon position.
Source: RNAcentral
GUUGACAUAGUUUAAUAAAAACACUAGGUUGUGGACCUAGAAACAGAAGCUAACCCCUCCUUGUAAACC